CUGUCGUUAAUAAGUUAAAUUAUUAUUAACAAUGGCUUUAGUGAUGUAAGUUAGUCGUCACUAAUAAUAUACCCUAAAAAUCCCCUCAAAUCUCGAUGGGCUUGGUUCUACUUGCCACUGCCUGCCCUUUCUUCCUCUUCGCCUCUCCUUUCUCUUCAUUCUCCAGUCCCCCUUCUCCCCUACUGCACCGUCGGAGCCUCCGACCUCCUCCUCCCAACCCCCGC
This 224-nucleotide long non-coding RNA is filed under the name Elaeis guineensis (African oil palm). RNAcentral's name for it is "long non-coding RNA (EGUI_LNC055540)". The record is from RNAcentral. Lineage: Eukaryota; Viridiplantae; Streptophyta; Magnoliopsida; Arecales; Arecaceae.